UAACAAUACAGGACUGUUUAGAGGCCCUGUAAUUGUAAUGAGUCCACUUGAAAUCCUUUAACUAUGAUCAAUUGGAGGGCAAGUCUGGUGCAGAGUGACUGACCCAUGCGUGCUGCAGCUGAAAAUCCACUAUCGCCUGCUGCUGCUCGCACAGUCACUCCAG
Molecule: ribosomal RNA, 163 nt
Filed under: Pelobates cultripes (western spadefoot toad)
Lineage: Eukaryota; Metazoa; Chordata; Amphibia; Anura; Pelobatidae
Description: SSU_rRNA_eukarya
Source: RNAcentral